AAACGAGCUGUCAAACGGGCCACGCGAACUGUAUUCGUUAACUUCCGUUUUCAAUUCGUUCUUUCGUUCUCAGACCGUCUUCGAGACAACAAGGAAAAUGAGAGCUAAGUGGCGUAAGAAGCGUAUGCGUAGGUUGAAGCGUAAGCGCAGGAAGAUGCGUGCACGUUCCAAGUAGACGACUCCAAUCGCCCAUUGAAUGGAACUUUUGACAAACAAUAUGAGGAAGCCGACUGGGCAACAAAUAGCCCGAAGUAAUUUAGAAAACGACUUUUCACACAAGAAAAAAAAUUGUGCAUUUAAAAAUUCACUUUAAGCAUUCAAGUUUGAGAUUGCUUUCAAUAAAUUACUGGUUAACCAUAAAAGUUCCAAAAGAAACGAAA
This is a long non-coding RNA of Drosophila busckii, 380 nucleotides long. RefSeq lists it as uncharacterized. The record is from RefSeq and is a predicted model, not a curated record. The transcript is spliced from 3 exons. NCBI's taxonomy places the organism in Eukaryota, Metazoa, Arthropoda, Insecta, Diptera, Drosophilidae.